This 72-nucleotide transfer RNA is filed under the name Podospora anserina S mat+. RNAcentral describes it as "tRNA-Gly (CCC) (tRNA-Gly-CCC-2-1)". It matches the Rfam family "tRNA". From Rfam's summary of the family: Transfer RNA (tRNA) molecules are approximately 80 nucleotides in length. Their secondary structure includes four short double-helical elements and three loops (D, anti-codon, and T loops). Further hydrogen bonds mediate the characteristic L-shaped molecular structure. tRNAs have two regions of fundamental functional importance: the anti-codon, which is responsible for specific mRNA codon recognition, and the 3' end, to which the tRNAs corresponding amino acid is attached (by aminoacyl-tRNA synthetases). tRNAs cope with the degeneracy of the genetic code in two manners: having more than one tRNA (with a specific anti-codon) for a particular amino acid; and 'wobble' base-pairing, i.e. permitting non-standard base-pairing at the 3rd anti-codon position. The record is from RNAcentral. Lineage: Eukaryota; Fungi; Ascomycota; Sordariomycetes; Sordariales; Podosporaceae.
GCGCGAUUAGUUCAGUGGUUAGAAUACUCGCUUCCCAAGCGAGGGACCCGAGUUCGAAUCUCGGAUCGCGCA